CGGGGUGAGUAAUGUAUGGGGAUCUGCCUGAUGGCGGGGGAUAACUACUGGAAACGGUAGCUAAUACCGCAUAACGUCGCAAGACCAAAGAGGGGGACCUUAGGGCCUCUUGCCAUCGGAUGUGCCCAGAUGGGAUUAGCUAGUAGGUGGGGUAACGGCUCACCUAGGCGACGAUCCCUAGCUGGUCUGAGAGGAUGACCAGCCACACUGGGACUGAGACACGGCCAG
Molecule: ribosomal RNA, 228 nt
Filed under: uncultured bacterium
Lineage: Bacteria
Description: partial 16S ribosomal RNA
Rfam family: Bacterial small subunit ribosomal RNA
Source: RNAcentral